RNAcentral lists this ribosomal RNA (1041 nucleotides) under uncultured bacterium. RNAcentral's name for it is "bacterial SSU rRNA". It matches the Rfam family "Bacterial small subunit ribosomal RNA", at positions 209 to 1267 of the family's 1533-position model. The record is from RNAcentral.
CUUUAUGUGCUGAAAGAUGGUCUCGCGUCUGAUUAGCUAGAUGGUGGGGUAACGGCCCACCAUGGCGACGAUCAGUAGCCGGUCUGAGAGGAUGAACGGCCACAUUGGGACUGAGAUACGGCCCAGACUCCUACGGGAGGCAGCAGUGGGGAAUAUUGGGCAAUGGGGGAAACCCUGACCCAGCAACGCCGCGUGAAGGAAGAAGGCCUUCGGGUUGUAAACUUCUUUUACCAGGGACGAAACAAAUGACGGUACCUGGAGAAAAAGCAACGGCUAACUACGUGCCAGCAGCCGCGGUAAUACGUAGGUUGCAAGCGUUGUCCGGAUUUACUGGGUGUAAAGGGCGUGUAGGCGGAGAUGCAAGUUGGGAGUGAAAUCCCGGGGCUCAACCCCGGAACUGCUUUCAAAACUGCAUCCCUUGAGUAUCGGAGAGGCAAGCGGAAUUCCUAGUGUAGCGGUGAAAUGCGUAGAUAUUAGGAGGAACACCAGUGGCGAAGGCGGCUUGCUGGACGACAACUGACGCUGAGGCGCGAAAGCGUGGGGAGCAAACAGGAUUAGAUACCCUGGUAGUCCACGCUGUAAACGAUGAAUACUAGGUGUGGGAGGACUGACCCCUUCCGUGCCGCAGUUAACACAAUAAGUAUUCCACCUGGGGAGUACGGCCGCAAGGCUGAAACUCAAAGGAAUUGACGGGGGCCCGCACAAGCAGUGGAUUAUGUGGUUUAAUUCGACGCAACGCGAAGAACCUUACCAGGACUUGACAUCCAACUAACGAAGUAGAGAUACAUUAGGUGCCCUUCGGGGAAAGUUGAGACAGGUGGUGCAUGGUUGUCGUCAGCUCGUGUCGUGAGAUGUUGGGUUAAGUCCCGCAACGAGCGCAACCCCUAUUGUUAGUUGCUACGCAAGAGCACUCUAGCAAGACUGCCGUUGACAAAACGGAGGAAGGCGGGGACGACGUCAAAUCAUCAUGCCCCUUAUGUCCUGGGCUACACACGUAAUACAAUGGUGGUUAACAGAGGGAAGCAAUACAGCGAUGUGGAG